GUCUAUGGCCAUGCUACCCUGAACAAGUUCAAUCCCGUCUGAUCUUGGAAGCUAAGCAGGGUUGGGACCAGUUAGUACUUGGAUGAGCGACCGCUUAGGAAGACCAGCUGCUGUAAGCA
Ribosomal RNA from Pteropus vampyrus (large flying fox), 119 nucleotides. The record is from Ensembl. Lineage: Eukaryota; Metazoa; Chordata; Mammalia; Chiroptera; Pteropodidae.